UUGGAGGGAGGAACCCCUAUAGAGUUCCAAGGAGGCCGAUCCCCUAAAGAGAUCAACCCCAAGUUUAGAAUCUGUAAGGGUUCUAACACCUGGUAUUAGAGCAGCGUUCUUGGCAUCUCGCUGCCCUUCCACUGCCAUCAAUCAGCCCUCCACAACCGCCUAAAGCAAUUCCCACAAUUGCUUAAAAGAUCGUCGCCGAAUUCCGCCAUCAUCUCCACCACCGCGGAUCAUCCUUUGAUCUCCCUGUGAAUUGCAACAGGUUCUGGUUUCCUACCUUACUGCUGCUGUAAUUUAGUUAUCCUUAUUCGAAAAUUAAAAAAAAAAAAAACUGUUCCUAUAUUGCUGCAUAAACCUUUCGUCACAAAGUUUUCAUCUCUACGACGAAAGAUACAUUGCAGAAUUCCAGCCGCAUAGUACCAUCUGUUUGAUCUUGCUACUAUGCUUUUUCUAUCCAAAUUUUUAUUUAAUUUUUAUGACAUCUUUGACACUUCCUAACAGCAGAUUUCCCUUUGGUUUUUUCAAAAAAUUCUAAAUAUAAACCAUUGAUCUUUUACGUCAAAUCUGCUAUACUUGAAAAUCUGCACCAUAAAAUUUCAGUCGCAUAGUACUAUUUUUUUGAUCUUGAUACUAUAUUAUUUCUAUCCAAAUCUCUACAAAAUUUUUAUGAUAGCUUUGGCACUUCCUAACAGUGGAUUUUCCGUUGGUUUCAUCAAAAAAUUCUCAAUAUAAACCACUGAUCUUUUACGUCCAAUCUGCUAUACCUAAAAAUCUGUGCUGCAGAAAAUUUCUGCCGCAUAUUGUUGCCUUAACCCAUCUAUUUGCAAUCUUUUUUGAAUGAAAUUUCUUAUACACUUCAUAGAUCAUCUUGGCUUCCAUCUAAGAUUGAUCUAUUAAGAAAUUCAUCUCUAAAAAUGAUUUUAUAUUGCUACAAAUUUUCGUGGUAACCCGCUGAAAUUUUUCGACGAGAAUUCUGCAAUCUCAACUUGCACCAAUUUCCUUGCUAUUAUACUGCCAAAAUUUUCUUGAUUAAAUUAGAUAUCCUUGUUGUAAUAUAAACUGUGAUUUUUCUAUCAAUUCCCUCCUCAAUUAUCUUACGUUUUUGGUGGAAAUUACGUCGAGAAACCGUUGUUUCUUCGUGAAAACUAUGGAGAGAUCAGUGCACCACUUACUUCUUUACUGAAAAAAGAUGUCUUCCAAUGUUCGAACAGAGCCUCUGCUGCCUUCGACAAACUUAAGGCAGCCAUGACGACGACGCCAGUGCUAGCGCUACUAGAUUUCAAUCGACCCUUCAUCAUUAAGGCUGAUGCAUCUGGAGACAAAAUGGGAGACGUUCUCAUGCAAAAUGGUCGACCACUCACAUACAUUAGCAAGACAUUGUCUCCUGUUAGGACUCUAGCUUGGAGACUCUAGCUUGGAGAGUCCUAAUUGAGAGGGACAUUCAUGUAAAAAUGUUAGGACUCUAGCUAGGAGAGUCCUAAUUGAGAGGGACAUUCUGUUAGGACUCUAGCUAGGAGAGUCCUAAUUGUGAGGGGCAUUCAUGUAGGAGGUUUUUUCUUAGAGAAGAAUUAGGAGUUGUAAGGAAAUAGGAGUCUUGAGUAGGAGUCCUAUUAGGAGUUGGUUAGAAGUAAAAGUCUUAAGUAGGAGUCCUAUUAGGAGUUAGGGUUUAGAAGCCCUAUAAAUAGCCAUGUAUUCCUUCUCUUUUCUUAAGCAAUAGAUGAAUCUUUUCUGCAGCUUUUGAGCAGCAACUUGGAGGGAGGAACCCCUAUAGAGUUCCAAGGAGGCCGAUCCCCUAAAGAGAUCAACCCCAAGUUUAGAAUCUGUAAGGGUUCUAACACCUGGUAUCAGAGCAGCGUUCUUGGCGUCUCGCUGCCCUUCCACAGCCAUCCAUCAACCCUCUACAACCAUCCAAAGCAAUUCCCACAAUUGCUUAAAAGAUCGUCACCAAAUUCCACCAUCAUCUCCACCACCGCGGAUCAUCCUUUGAUCUUCCCGUGAAUUGCAACAGGUUCUGGUUUUCUACCUUACUGCUGCUGCAAUUUAGUUAUCCUUAUUCGAAAAUCCAAAAAAAAAAAAAAAAAUCGUUCCUAUAUUGCUGCAUAAACUUUUCGUCACAAAGUUUUCAUCUCUACGACGAAAGAUACAUUGCAGAAUUCCAACCACAUAGCACCAUCUGUUUGAUCUUGCUACUGUGCUUUUUCUAUCCAAAUUUCUACGAAAUUUUUAUGACAUCUUUGACACUUCCUAACAGUAGACUUCCCUUUGGUUUCAUCAAAAAAUUCUCAAUAUAAACUACUGAUCUUUUAUGUCCAAUCUGCUGUACUUGAAUUGC
Molecule: long non-coding RNA, 2329 nt
Filed under: Musa acuminata (dwarf banana)
Lineage: Eukaryota; Viridiplantae; Streptophyta; Magnoliopsida; Zingiberales; Musaceae
Description: long non-coding RNA (MACU_LNC011277)
Source: RNAcentral